GAUGAACGCUGGCGGCGUGCCUAAUACAUGCAAGUCGAGCGAACAGAUGAGGAGCUUGCUCCUCUGACGUUAGCGGCGGACGGGUGAGUAACACGUGGAUAACCUACCUAUAAGACUGGGAUAACUUCGGGAAACCGGAGCUAAUACCGGAUAAUAUAUUGAACCGCAUGGUUCAAUAGUGAAAGACGGUUUUGCUGUCACUUAUAGAUGGAUCCGCGCCGCAUUAGCUAGUUGGUAAGGUAACGGCUUACCAAGGCAACGAUGCGUAGCCGACCUGAGAGGGUGAUCGGCCACACUGGAACUGAGACACGGUCCAGACUCCUACGGGAGGCAGCAGUAGGGAAUCUUCCGCAAUGGGCGAAAGCCUGACGGAGCAACGCCGCGUGAGUGAUGAAGGUCUUCGGAUCGUAAAGCUCUGUUAUUAGGGAAGAACAAAUGUGUAAGUAACUAUGCACGUCUUGACGGUACCUAAUCAGAAAGCCACGGCUAGCUACGUG
RNAcentral lists this ribosomal RNA (497 nucleotides) under uncultured bacterium. RNAcentral's name for it is "partial 16S ribosomal RNA". It matches the Rfam family "Bacterial small subunit ribosomal RNA", at positions 28 to 507 of the family's 1533-position model. The record is from RNAcentral.